CUUUAAUACAUUUAUCAAAGGCCUUUACCCACAAAUCUUUUGUAAGUAACCGUUUCGAUUAACCUCUUGGAACAGAUAUCUAUUGUUUGUUUACUGAAUUUACAACCUUCACUUGUUAUUGCUCAAACCAUCACAAUUGAUCAUUUCUGAUUAUUUUCUUACAUAAAUUAAUGCUCAUUUUCUCUUUGAUUUUUCUUAAGUGCUAAUCCUUUAACUUAUUAACCGCGGUAACUCAUAAAGCUGAUCUACUUCAUGAAUUCGUAAACUAUUUCUUCUGAGAUAAUAAAUACCCGUAGUUUUUUAACGAAAUUUGCUCAUGACUCAGUGACGAAUAGUAGUUUUGAAGCUGUAAAGGAUUUGAGGUCCAUUGUUAGUAUAAUAAUACACAACUUUUUACAGACGAAAGUAGCUUCAAGCAACAAAUCGAAUAAGGAUUCAGAAUUCGAAUCAAUUGUGUGGAAGUUUGUGCAACUAAGGGUCGUAAAAGAAGAUGUAAACUCUGAAUUAGCACAACAUAGGACCUUAGCGUUCAGUCUGUGAAGAAGCCAAAAUGAUGCAAGUUAAGCAAAACAAAAAGCAGUUAUGAAACUACUCAAAAAUGCUCGAAUGCCUUUGGUUUCCUUUUUCUCAUAAAAAAAUAAUCGUUA
Schizosaccharomyces pombe (fission yeast) is the source of this 647-nucleotide non-coding RNA. NCBI's taxonomy places the organism in Eukaryota, Fungi, Ascomycota, Schizosaccharomycetes, Schizosaccharomycetales, Schizosaccharomycetaceae. The record is from the annotation of a GenBank genome assembly.